This 484-nucleotide ribosomal RNA is filed under the name uncultured bacterium. RNAcentral's name for it is "partial 16S ribosomal RNA". It matches the Rfam family "Bacterial small subunit ribosomal RNA", at positions 30 to 507 of the family's 1533-position model. The record is from RNAcentral.
AUUGAACGCUGGCGGCAGGCCUAACACAUGCAAGUCGAGCGGAUGAAGGGAGCUUGCUCCUGGAUUCAGCGGCGGACGGGUGAGUAAUGCCUAGGAAUCUGCCUGGUAGUGGGGGAUAACGUCCGGAAACGGGCGCUAAUACCGCAUACGUCCUGAGGGAGAAAGUGGGGGUUCUUGGGACCUAAGGCUUUCGGAUAGCCCUAGGUCGGAUUACCUAGUUGGUGGGGUAAAGGCCUACCAAGGCGACGAUCCGUAACUGGUCUGAGAGGAUGAUCAGUCACACUGGAACUGAGACACGGUCCAGACUCCUACGGGAGGCAGCAGUGGGGAAUAUUGGACAAUGGGCGAAAGCCUGAUCCAGCCAUGCCGCGUGUGUGAAGAAGGUCUUCGGAUUGUAAAGCACUUUAAGUUGGGAGGAAGGGCAGUAAGUUAAUACCUUGCUAUUUUGACGUUACCAACAGAAUAAGCACCGGCUAACUUCGUG